GGUCGGAUGGUGGAAUAGGUAGACACUGGGGACUUAAAAUCCCUUGGAUAUUGCAUCCGUGCGGGUUCAAUUCCCGCUCCGACUA
This 85-nucleotide transfer RNA is filed under the name Chitinispirillales bacterium. RNAcentral's name for it is "tRNA-Leu". It matches the Rfam family "tRNA". From Rfam's summary of the family: Transfer RNA (tRNA) molecules are approximately 80 nucleotides in length. Their secondary structure includes four short double-helical elements and three loops (D, anti-codon, and T loops). The record is from RNAcentral. Lineage: Bacteria; Pseudomonadati; Fibrobacterota; Chitinispirillia; Chitinispirillales.